Molecule: long non-coding RNA, 730 nt
Filed under: Numida meleagris (helmeted guineafowl)
Lineage: Eukaryota; Metazoa; Chordata; Aves; Galliformes; Numididae
Description: lncRNA (ENSNMEG00000014344.1)
Source: RNAcentral
AUGCUGCUGGAGAAACUGCAGAACAGCACGGGAGGUCACCAGGCUGCAGCAAGAGAAGAGCAGUCUCUGAGUAGGUUAAAAAAUUACCGAGUGCCAAAUGUGAGAAAGCAGUGUCCCGUAGAAGCCGGGAGCGUCGUUAGCGCCCACCCCCCGCAGCUGUCCCCCGGGAAGGGCGGGAGGGGCCUGCGGCGCCAAUGGGAAAGCAGCUCGGCCGCGGCGGCCACAGGUGCGGGCCCUCAGCGGCGCAGAAGCUUCCAGCAAGGGCUGCACGUGGGGGCCGCGGAAUGGCGGCCGCGCGGAGCCAGGGAGCUGCCGCUUUCUAAGCGCCUUUUGGCUUGGCCGGCCGAGCACCCAGCACUGAGCUACCACUGCCGUGUUAGUUGCUAACUGCAAGAGUUGAUGACAUCUUGGAAUCCAUCCAGUGGAUCUCAGCUGAGGAAGAAGUCCGGAGGUGGAAGGACACAGGUAGCAGAUCCCUCAGCAGCAACAGCAUGGUUUACUUGAAGACUAGGAGGUAUCUGGGAACUGGGGAGAACCAAGAAGUGUAUGUGACCAAAUUUCAGCAGCAGUUACCUGAUCUCAGCAUAACAGAUAAAGGCAAUCCCAGGAGUAGAAAUCCCCUUGAGCGGAUGGAGGAAAAAGAGGCAAUUACACGAACUGCUUGCUGUUCUAUCAAGAGCAAACACGAGGAGAACUUGGCUGAAAUAAACUUGGCAAUACAGUUUUAGCA